CCACACAUAGCAGUUUGACCAUGAACUGACCUUCCCUGUCAUUCCAUAAAUAGAAAAAAAAAUUUACCUAGGGAUGAAAAAUAUUGAGAACACAGUUUUUUGUUUGUUUGUUUGUUUGUUUGUUUUAAAGAGAUGAGGUCUUACUAUGUUGCCCAGGCUGGAGUGCAGUGGCUAUUCAAAGGCACAAUCAUAGCUCACUGUAGCCUUGAACUCCUGGGCUCAAGAGAUCAUCCGACCUCAGCCUCUGAAGUAACUGGGGCUAUCAGUGCAUGCCACCACGUCUGGCUGAGAACACAGAUUUUAAUGAACAAAGUGUGAGGUUUUGAUAUAGAGAUUUCAAUCACUUAGUCUCUGAUAAUUAAUUGAGGGCCUUUAAGCUAAACCAAGAUCAGGGGAAGAGGACAAAGUGCACAAUUAUUUGUUAAUAAAAACAAUGAAACAAUAGUAACAGAAAUCAUAGUCUUAUAAUUUUAAAAUGUUAAGAAUUUUUAACUUAAAAGGUAGAUUUUAGUUCAACUUAAUGCAACAACUAGUUUGAAAAAUGAAUAUAACUGAGAAGACAAUGACAGAGUUUUUCAGCUAAAGGAAAUAAUUUUUACUAACAUUCAGUGGAGGAUGUUUAGGAAAUGGUGAUUAGAUUUAUUGCAGCAAGGUCAUAGAAGCAAUGACAUGGAGACAGAUUGGGGGAAGACAGGCAAAAAAGUCAUAAUUGUGACCUAGUUUUGGAAAGCAGAGAAUAUAUAAAGACAAUUAGGAGACAGAAUUGGUAAUUGAAUGAAGAUGAGAAAAGGGAGUUUACAAUGAAUGUUUUUGGUUUAGAGGGCAACUGGAUAGAUGGUGGUGCUAAGAUGGAGAAUGAAGUACAGAAGAUGGGUUGGCGAAUAGAAUCAGGUGGUAGAGGCAGAAGAUGAUUUCUAAUUUUGGCAGUCUUUUUUUUUUUUUUUUUUUUUUUUGAGGAGUUUCUCUCUGGUUGCCCAGGCUAGAGUGCAAUGGUGCAAUCUCGGCUCACUUGGCAAAUUUCGCCUCCCAGGUUCAAGUGAUUCUCCUGCCUCAGCCUCCUGAGUAGCUUACAGG
This 1074-nucleotide long non-coding RNA is filed under the name Homo sapiens (human). RNAcentral's name for it is "HSALNT0011444". Lineage: Eukaryota; Metazoa; Chordata; Mammalia; Primates; Hominidae. The record is from RNAcentral.